CCUACGGGUGGCAGCAGUGAGGAAUAUUGGUCAAUGGACGCAAGUCUGAACCAGCCAUGCCGCGUGCAGGAAGACGGCUCUAUGAGUUGUAAACUGCUUUUGUACGAGGGUAAACGCAGAUACGCGUAUCUUUCUGAAAGUAUCGUACGAAUAAGGAUCGGCUAACUCCGCGCCAGCCGCCGCGGUAAUACGGAGGGUUCAAGCGUUAUCCGGAUUUAUUGGGUUUAAAGGGUGCGUAGGCGGUCGGUUAAGUUAGAUGUGAAAUCCCGGGGCUGAACUUAGGAAUUGCAUCUGAUACUGGUCGGCUAGAGAGUAGUAGCGGUAGGCGGAAUGUAAGGUGUAGCGGUGAAAUGCUUAGAGAUC
RNAcentral lists this ribosomal RNA (363 nucleotides) under uncultured bacterium. Its description in RNAcentral is "partial 16S ribosomal RNA". It matches the Rfam family "Bacterial small subunit ribosomal RNA", at positions 338 to 698 of the family's 1533-position model. The record is from RNAcentral.